Molecule: ribosomal RNA, 429 nt
Filed under: bacterium
Lineage: Bacteria
Description: partial 16S ribosomal RNA
Rfam family: Bacterial small subunit ribosomal RNA
Source: RNAcentral
UAGGGAAUCUUCGGCAAUGGGGGCAACCCUGACCGAGCAACGCCGCGUGAGUGAAGAAGGUUUUCGGAUCGUAAAGCUCUGUUGUAAGUCAAGAACGGGUGUGAGAGUGGAAAGUUCACACUGUGACGGUAGCUUACCAGAAAGGGACGGCUAACUACGUGCCAGCAGCCGCGGUAAUACGUAGGUCCCGAGCGUUGUCCGGAUUUAUUGGGCGUAAAGCGAGCGCAGGCGGUUUGAUAAGUCUGAAGUUAAAGGCUGUGGCUCAACCAUAGUUGGCUUUGGAAACUGUCAAACUUGAGUGCAGAAGGGGAGAGUGGAAUUCCAUGUGUAGCGGUGAAAUGCGUAGAUAUAUGGAGGAACACCGGUGGCGAAAGCGGCUCUCUGGUCUGUAACUGACGCUGAGGCUCGAAAGCGUGGGGAGCGAACAGG